GACAGAGGGUGCAAACGUUGUUCGGAAUUACUGGGCGUAAAGCGAGUGUAGGCGGUCUAAAAAAGUCGGGGUGUGAAAGCCCCCGGGCUCAACCCGGGAAGUGCACUCGAAACUGCUAGGCUAGAGUAUCGGAGAGGUUGGUGGAAUUCUCGGUGUAGAGGUGAAAUUCGUAGAUAUCGAGAGGAACACCGGUGGCGAAGGCGGGACUCUGGGCCGAUACUGACGCUGAGGAGCGAAAGCGUGGGGGAGCAAACAGG
This 257-nucleotide ribosomal RNA is filed under the name uncultured bacterium. Its description in RNAcentral is "partial 16S ribosomal RNA". It matches the Rfam family "Bacterial small subunit ribosomal RNA", at positions 524 to 776 of the family's 1533-position model. The record is from RNAcentral.